UGAGUAACACGUGGAUAACCUACCUAUAAGACUGGGAUAACUUCGGGAAACCGGAGCUAAUACCGGAUAAUAUUUUGAACCGCAUGGUUCAAAAGUGAAAGACGGUCUUGCUGUCACUUAUAGAUGGAUCCGCGCUGCAUUAGCUAGUUGGUAAGGUAACGGCUUACCAAGGCAACGAUGCAUAGCCGACCUGAGAGGGUGAUCGGCCACACUGGAACUGAGACACGGUCCAGACUCCUACGGGAGGCAGCAGUAGGGAAUCUUCCGCAAUGGGCGAAAGCCUGACGGAGCAACGCCGCGUGAGUGAUGAAGGUCUUCGGAUCGUAAAACUCUGUUAUUAGGGAAGAACAUAUGUGUAGAUAACUGUGCACAUCUUGACGGUACCUAAUCAGAAAGCCACGGCUAACUACGUGCCAGCAGCCGCGGUAAUACGUAGGUGGCAAGCGUUAUCCGGAAUUAUUGCGCGUAAAGCGCGCGUAGUCGGUUUUUUAAGUCUGAUGUGAAAGCCCACGGCUCAACCGUGGAGGGUCAUUGGAAACUGGAAAACUUGAGUGCAGAAGAGGAAAGUGGAAUUCCAUGUGUAGCGGUGAAAUGCGCAGAGAUAUGGAGGAACACCAGUGGCGAAGGCGACUUUCUGGUCUGUAACUGACGCUGAUGUGCGAAAGCGUGGGGAUCAAACAGGAUUAGAUAUCCUGGUAGUCCACGCCGUAAACGAUGAGUGCUAAGUGUUAGGGGGUUUCCGCCCCUUAG
This 750-nucleotide ribosomal RNA is filed under the name uncultured Staphylococcus sp. RNAcentral describes it as "bacterial SSU rRNA". It matches the Rfam family "Bacterial small subunit ribosomal RNA", at positions 107 to 843 of the family's 1533-position model. The record is from RNAcentral. Lineage: Bacteria; Bacillati; Bacillota; Bacilli; Caryophanales; Staphylococcaceae.